Long non-coding RNA from Glycine soja, 975 nucleotides. RefSeq lists it as uncharacterized. The transcript is spliced from 2 exons. NCBI's taxonomy places the organism in Eukaryota, Viridiplantae, Streptophyta, Magnoliopsida, Fabales, Fabaceae. The record is from RefSeq and is a predicted model, not a curated record.
GGCUCAAAAAUCCUAAAACUACUCUAAAAAAUCUUCCCCCUCCUCCCUCUUUCGCUUCUUCCCCUUUCCCCUCUUUCUAAUCUUUCUUACGCACAGAGGCUUCUUAAUUUUGGCAUAUUUUUAUAUUCUUAACUACUCUUUGUUUAUUUCUUCAUGUUCUUUUCGCAGAUACCAAAACAAAACGCAUAGAAUAUAUGGCAACAAAUAAUUACACUGUUCACAACGAGAAAACAAGCUUUCCACAAAGAAGAAGAGGCCAAAUUAAAGCUCAGAUAUUUAGCAGCAUGGUCGAAUUUGUUGCCUCUAUAUUCUCAAAGGAUGAAAAAGACAAGGAUGACAACAAUAAUGAUGGCGGUUCUGCUAUAUCGACCCCACCAUCAACUGCUUACAACUCCGAUGGAUUCUAGUCUCAGUUCUUUCGGGUUACUUUGAAGGUUUAUCCCUGGAAUAUGAGACUUGUUUCUACCACGUCCCCUUCUCAACUCGUGCUCUCUAUCGUGGUGGUUCUCUUACAAUGUUUUCGGUAAGAGGAAUCAUCAUCAACUUAAAAAAGCAUUCGCGUCUGUUCCUUUUUAUUUGCAGACAGAAGCUGCUACUAUAGCCUCUGAUUAAGUAACGUUGUCUACGUCUUCUCGUACAAAUAGAAGAUGCAGUGUGAUGUGAAUUUUAGUGUGCAUAAUAAAAUCCUGAAAAACCAGUUGUUUUUUAUAUGGUUGAUCAGGAUUGUAAUUUACAGGGCUGUUGUUGUAGUUGUUAAUUAAUGUUGUGAUGGUUUGCUAUGUAGUUGGGCUUGUUUGGAAUUGUCCUUAACCUCUCGCUAGUGUUUUUAGAGUCAUGACCGGAGGGAGGGAGUUUGUAAUCUUUGUACUUUUACUUUCAGUUUGGAGUGUAAUUUUCUUUCAAGUACUACAUAUGAGAACUCAAUAUUGCUUCUGUCAUUUUCUAUCUAUAAAUUGGGUUGUUAACUUUUUUGUA